Macadamia integrifolia is the source of this 2090-nucleotide RNA transcript. RefSeq lists it as uncharacterized. The transcript is spliced from 2 exons. The record is from RefSeq and is a predicted model, not a curated record. NCBI's taxonomy places the organism in Eukaryota, Viridiplantae, Streptophyta, Magnoliopsida, Proteales, Proteaceae.
AGAUUCCGGUCCAGUCAGAUUCCUCGACUGACCUAACCAGAAAAGUCCCCUCCCUCCCUCUUUCCCUCUUUCCCUCUUUCAACUGUUACUACAAUGGCGGACGCCUUCGCUUCGCUGUGAGUAGUGGAAACUGGGCAGCUUCAACUUUCCUAGAUAAAGGAUCAUCUAUGGUAGUGGAAAUUCCAGAGAGCGAAGAGAACUAACCAUCGUUUCCUUAAAAAUCUUUACCUAUUACUGGUCAUGAAGACGAUUUCAGGAUGGGACACAUCUUCCAAGCCCAUCUCACUCUCUAAAGCUGCUACGGUUCUGCAAAAAAUCAUCAACGAGGACCCUGGAGCUUCGCAAGCUGUUUCUGUGUACCUGAAACGCGCUUCCGCUGCUUUUGAUGAGCUGGUUCAGUUCCACAAGGAACUCAAAGGAUCCCGCCGCAAACACAAAAAAUCUCGUAUGGAUAUGGUGGAUAAUGGAGCCUUAACAGACGCAGAAGACGAGCAGGCCAGCAAACAAGCUCGAUUUAUUGAUUCCUUGGAACAGAAUUACUGGUAUACCCGGUAUGGGUGUGACUUUUGGCCUGAAGCCAAUGGUAGAGAAGGUGGAGUUGGGGUUCAAAUUGUAGAGGAGAUGAAGAAGACGAAAAAGGUGGAACUUGAAUGUGAAGGUUUGAACGAUUCCGAGGAACGGCAUAGCAGGAAGAACAAGAAGAACAAGAGAAGAAGGGAGGAUGAGAAAUAGCUGCUGGAUCUGACUGACUGGAAUUCUCUGUUCAAUGAAGUCUCUGGACAGCAACACAAAGUUAUAAGAAAAAUAGGCAUGCAUCUAACAUGUGAGCGAUUGGAUGUUUCAUCACAUUAUGUUACACAUGUUGGGGAAUGACACCAACAGAUCCAGUGAUGGAUUGUGAAUGUUUGGUCUAAGGUGGCUGUCCAAACACCCAUUACUCUCUGCUUUCGGGUCCAAAAAAUUCUGAUCUUUUUCUGCAUUGGUACCAUGUUAAUUUUCGUCAUUGAUUGUAACUGUGUCUAACCUAUUAGCUACCUUUCUUUUGAUAGAACAGUAUUGCCUGCAUAAUAUUCUUCUUCAUCUGAUCAAGAGAACUUCUUUAUACCAUAAGGCCAACCUCAAUCAAUGGACAGUAUAAUCAUAUGCCUAAGUCCUAAAGGUGAUAAAUCGUCUGGAACUACCACAAAGUUGGCCUUUUGAAACCAUGCUUUAUAUAUAAACCACCCCUGCCCCCAUCGAAUAUCAUUGUCAAUCCAUCAAACCUAUUUCUCCAUACUUCUUUUCAAAACCUCUAUAUAAACCAAAACCUCCAUUCCCUUAUCAAACCCUUAAUGCCCUACCAUCUCAUAAAGCUCAAAAAAUGAAAAUUCAACAAUAGCGACCGUUUAGACCCAAUUUUGAAAACCAUAAAUCCUUUGAGACCAUAAUCCACAGGAUUGCAUUGGUAUAACAUCCAGCCCUCUCCAAGACGUGAACCUAAUACUCUAAAGAAUAGCAUGUUAAAAAUAACUUUUCCACCCCAAAUCAACUUUUAUGGCCUUCUACAAAUAUCACUUGACUUGUCUAGUUCCUCAUGGAUCUUAUGAAGUUCUUGAUGAUAGUCGACUGUUCGGUAGAUUAAAUUCAUCAACUGUGUAGUCAACAUCUCGCUUCAUCCUGGAGUCAUCUCUAUUCCUCUGUACUUCACUUGUUCCUGUUGUCCAGUGUAGGCAUUACUGUUACCAAGCAGCUACAGUUACAAGGCUUGUAGGCAAUGGUUACUUGAAUAAAGGCUUACUACAGUGAUUUCUUCAGGAUUUUCUGUAUGAGUAGCAUUUGCUGGAGUCUGCGUCAUGGUGGUCCUAACUCUUGUGUCUCAAGGUUCUGCGUUGUUGCUACUGAUUGCGAAUGCUAGUUAAGUGGAGUUUAAACAUGUACUUCAGAAUUGUCAUCCAUGCUUUGGGCAUGGACUGCAUUGCUGUAUGUGUUCACCUUAGCAUAAACUAGCAAUGCGAGUUGUUGAAUUGAUUUGUGUGAUCCGUUCAUGGAGCUCUUUGCUUGUCCUUUUUUCUCUAAUAUGUGGGGUAACCUUCUUCUAAAGAUCUUGCCCU